CGAUCCUAAGGUCAGUCGUAAGUCGAGCUGAUCGAAAGGGAAACAGGUUAAUAUUCCUGUACAUGGUUGAUACGUGCGGUGACGCGUGGACUAGUUUCUGACGCUUUGAGAUAGGUUUUGUGUGAUUGUCGUCAUAUUUAAGUGUUUAAGCCUGGGGAGAGGUGUAAUAGCGAGAACCAGGUGUAGGCUUGAAGAGCUGCUUGUUUGUACGGUUUAACUGAUUCAUGGAGUCCUUGAAAAGGGAAUUGGUUUUAGAUUUCACUAUUUCGUACCGAGAUCCGUCACAGGUGCCCCUAGCUGAGUAGGCUAAGGCGUUUUAAGGUAAACUAGCUAAGGGAAAUCGGCAAAAUAGCCCCGUAACUUUGGGAUAAGGGGUGCCAGCUAUGUGAAUAGCUGGUCUCAGUGACUAGGGGGGCCCGACG
This 422-nucleotide ribosomal RNA is filed under the name Weissella confusa. RNAcentral's name for it is "partial 23S ribosomal RNA". It matches the Rfam family "Archaeal large subunit ribosomal RNA", at positions 1473 to 1893 of the family's 2987-position model. The record is from RNAcentral. Lineage: Bacteria; Bacillati; Bacillota; Bacilli; Lactobacillales; Lactobacillaceae.